Molecule: ribosomal RNA, 490 nt
Filed under: uncultured bacterium
Lineage: Bacteria
Description: bacterial SSU rRNA
Rfam family: Bacterial small subunit ribosomal RNA
Source: RNAcentral
AAAGGAAUUGACGGGGCCCCGCACAAGCAGUGGAUUAUGUGGUUUAAUUCGACGAAACGCGAAAAACCUUACCGGGGUUUGACAUCCUACUAACGAAGCAGAAAUGCAUUAGGUGCCCUUCGGGGAAAGUAGAGACAGGUGGUGCAUGGUUGUCGUCAGCUCGUGUCGUGAGAUGUUGGGUUAAGUCCCGCAACGAGCGCAACCCUUAUUGUCAGUUGCUACGAAAGAGCACUCUGGCGAGACUGCCGUUGUAAAACGGAGGAAGGCGGGGACGAUGUCAAAUCAUCAUGCCCCUUAUAUCCCGGGCUACACACGUAAUACAAUGGCGCAUAACAAUGGGAGGCAAUGCCGUAAGGCGGAGCGAAACCCUAAAAGGCGUCCCAGUUCGGAUCGAGGGCUGCAACUCGCCCUCGUGAAGUCGGAAUUGCUAGUAAUCGCGGAUCAGCAUGCCGCGGUGAAUACGUUCCCGGGGCUUGUACACACCGCCCGU